Molecule: long non-coding RNA, 397 nt
Organism: Bos taurus (domestic cattle)
Lineage: Eukaryota; Metazoa; Chordata; Mammalia; Artiodactyla; Bovidae
Source: Ensembl
GGUUGGUUGGUUCACUAGCUUAGGACACCUUACGAAGGAUCACCAGACUUCUAGCUCAGUCCCAUGUGGACCUUGUAGCUUUGCUUCAUGAUCAUGCACCAGACUCCUAGACUAGACCAAAUGCUCAAAGCAAAUGACUCAUAGUACAGGGUUACAAAGGCAUGUGGAGAUAGGGAGGAGAAGGACAGGUGGAUUCUUAACCACUGGACCACCAGGGAAGUCCUUGAUUGUCCCAAUUUAUUGAUGAAGAACCUGAGACUCCAAGAAAUUAAUUUUCUUAUUAUCACACAGAAGGAGAACUAAAAGGCAACAAGGAACAUGAAUUGGUUAACCUUAAAGAGAGCUAUCUUUAGUGGCUUGGAAUUUUAAGUACAAAUAAGAGAAGGAUGUCUUUAAU